This 468-nucleotide ribosomal RNA is filed under the name uncultured bacterium. Its description in RNAcentral is "partial 16S ribosomal RNA". It matches the Rfam family "Bacterial small subunit ribosomal RNA", at positions 28 to 507 of the family's 1533-position model. The record is from RNAcentral.
GACGAACGCUGGCGGCGUGCUUAACACAUGCAAGUCGAACGGAAAGGCCCUGCUUUUGUGGGGUGCUCGAGUGGCGAACGGGUGAGUAACACGUGAGUCACCUGCCCUUGACUUUGGGAUAACUUCAGGAAACUGGGGCUAAUACCGGAUAGGAGCUCCUGCUGCAUGGUGGGGGUUGGAAAGUUUCGGCGGUUGGGGAUGGACUCGCGGCUUAUCAGCUUGUUGGUGGGGUAGUGGCUUACCAAGGCUUUUACGGGUAGCCGGCCUGAGAGGGUGACCGGCCACAUUGGGACUGAGAUACGGCCCAGACUCCUACGGGAGGCAGCAGUGGGGAAUAUUGCACAAUGGGCGGAAGCCUGAUGCAGCAACGCCGCGUGCGGGAUGACGGCCUUCGGGUUGUAAACCGCUUGCGCCUGUGACGAAGCGUGAGUGACGGUAAUGGGUAAAGAAGCACCGGCUAACUACGUG